ACAGUGGACGCGAGCAUCUUUGUUGUAAGUGUUUAAGAGCGUACGGUGGAUGCCUUGGCACCAGGAGCCGAUGAAGGACGUAGGAGGCUGCGAUAAGCCUCGGGGAGCUGUCAACCGAGCUGAGAUCCGAGGAUGUCCGAAUGGGGAAACCCAGCCACAGUGAUGUGUGGUUACCCGCGCCUGAAUAUAUAGGGCGUGUGGAGGGAACGUGGGGAAGUGAAACAUCUCAGUACCCACAGGAAGAGAAAACAACAUGUGAUUCCGUGAGUAGUGGCGAGCGAAAGCGGAAGAGGCUAAACCAUGGGUGUGUGAUAGCCGGCGGGCGUUGCAUUCGUGGGGUUGUGGGAUCCGUCUUGUCAAUUCUGCCGGAUUGGCCGACAGUGAGAAAUCAUCGUGUUAGUCGAAGUGGUCUGGAACGGCCUGUCGUAGAGGGUGAGAGUCCCGUAGACGAAAACAUGGUGACUGUCGUGACGGACACCCGAGUAGCAGCGGGCCCGUGAAAUCUGCUGUGAAUCUGUCGGGACCACCCGAUAAGCCUGAAUACUCCCUGGUGACCGAUAGCGGACUAGUACCGUGAGGGAAAGGUGAAAAGUACCCCGGGAGGGGAGUGAAAUAGUACCUGAAACCGUGCGCUUACAAUCCGUCAGAGCCUGCGCCACUUUUGGUGGGUGGGUGAUGGCGUGCCUUUUGAAGAAUGAGCCUGCGAGUUAGCGGCAUGUCGCGAGGUUAACCCGUGUGGGGUAGCCGUAGCGAAAGCGAGUCCGAAUAGGGCGUUUGUAGUGGCAUGUUCUAGACCCGAAGCGGAGUGAUCUACCCAUGGCCAGGGUGAAGCGACGGUAAGACGUCGUGGAGGCCCGAACCCACUUAGGUUGAAAACUGAGGGGAUGAGCUGUGGGUAGGGGUGAAAGGCCAAUCAAACUCCGUGAUAGCUGGUUCUCCCCGAAAUGCAUUUAGGUGCAGCGUCGCGUGUUUCACUCUGGAGGUAGAGCUACUGGAUGGCCGAUGGGCCCCACAAGGUUACUGACGUCAGCCAAACUCCGAAUGCCAGAGUGUGAGAGCGCGGCAGUGAGACUGCGGGGGAUAAGCUUCGUAGUCGAGAGGGAAACAGCCCAGAUCGCCGGCUAAGGCCCCUAAGCGUGUACUAAGUGGAAAAGGAUGUGGGGUCGCGAAGACAACCAGGAGGUUGGCUUAGAAGCAGCCACCCUUGAAAGAGUGCGUAAUAGCUCACUGGUCAAGUGAUCCUGCGCCGACAAUGUAGCGGGGCUCAAGUACACCGCCGAAGCCGCGGCAUUCACAUAACACCCAUGCGGGUCUACGGGCCUGUGUGCAGUGGUGUGGAUGGGUAGGGGAGCGUCGUGCAGCCAUGGAAGCGCCGGAGUGAUCCAGGUGUGGAGGCUGCACGAGUGAGAAUGCAGGCAUGAGUAGCGAAAGACGAGUGAGAAACUCGUCCGCCGAAUGACCAAGGGUUCCUGGGCCAGGUUAAUCCGCCCAGGGUGAGUCGGGACCUAAGGCGAGGCCGACAGGCGUAGUCGAUGGACAACGGGUUGAUAUUCCCGUACCCGUGUGAACGCGCCCCUGGUGAAUCAGUGAUGCUAAGCGCCCUGAAGCCGCCUUCGAACCUUCGGGUUCUCCGGUGUGUGGAUGCGCGUGAACCGAUCUGGUAGUAGCCAAGCGAUGGGGUGACGCAGGAAGGUAGCUGAGCCAGUCAGUGGUAAUACUGGUGUAAGCGUGUAGGGCGUGACCUAGGCAAAUCCGGGUCACACACAGCCUGAGACGUGAUGCGUAGCCGAUUGAGGCGAAUUCAGUGAUCCUAUGCUGCCGAGAAAAGCCUCUAGCGAGCUUUCACACGGCCCGUACCCCAAACCGACACAGGUGGUCAGGUAGAGAAUACUAAGGCGAUCGAGAUAACUGUGGUUAAGGAACUCGGCAAAAUGCCCCCGUAACUUCGGGAGAAGGGGGGCCUCGUCUGGUGACGGAACUUGCUUCCUGAGCUGGGUGGGGCCGCAGAGACCAGAGAGAAGCGACUGUUUACUAAAAACACAGGUCCGUGCGAAGUCGUAAGACGAUGUAUACGGACUGACGCCUGCCCGGUGCUGGAAGGUUAAGAGGACCGGUUAGCCAGUAAUGGCGAAGCUGAGAAUUUAAGCCCCAGUAAACGGCGGUGGUAACUAUAACCAUCCUAAGGUAGCGAAAUUCCUUGUCGGGUAAGUUCCGACCUGCACGAAUGGCGUAACGACUUCUCUGCUGUCUCAACCACAGACUCGGCGAAAUUGCAUUACGAGUAAAGAUGCUCGUUACGCGCGGCAGGACGAAAGACCCGGGACCUUCACUAUAGCUUGGUAUUGGUGUUCGGUUCGGUUUGUGUAGGAUAGGUGGGAGACUGUGAAGCGGGCACGCCAGUGUUCGUGGAGUCGUUGUUGAAAUACCACUCUGAUCGUAUUGGACAUCUAACCUCGGACCAUGAUCUGGUUCAGGGACAGUGCCUGGUGGGUAGUUUAACUGGGGCGGUUGCCUCCCACAAAUGUAACGGAGGCGCCAAAGGUUCCCUCAGCCUGGUUGGCAAUCAGGUGUCGAGUGCAAGUGCACCCAGGGAGCUUGACUGUGAGACUGACAGGUCGAGCAGGGACGAAAGUCGGGACUAGUGAUCCGGCACCGGCAAGUGGAAGCGGUGUCGCUCAACGGAUAAAAGGUACCCCGGGGAUAACAGGCUGAUCUUCCCCAAGAGUCCAUAUCGACGGGAUGGUUUGGCACCUCGAUGUCGGCUCGUCGCAUCCUGGGGCUGGAGUAGUAUCCCAAGGGUUGGGCUGUUCGCCCAUUAAAGCGGCACGCGAGCUGGGUUUAGAACGUCGUGAGACAGUUCGGUCUCUAUCCGCCCGCGCGCGUUAGAAACUUGAGGAAGGCUGUCCCUAGUACGAGAGGACCGGGACGGACGAACCUCUGGUGUGCCAGUUGUUCCGCAGGAGCACUGCUGGUUAGCUACGUUCGGAAGGGAUAACCGCUGAAAGCAUCUAAGCGGGGAAGCCUGUUCCAAGAUGAGGUUUCUCACCCCCUCGAGGGGGUAAGGCC
Molecule: ribosomal RNA, 3066 nt
Filed under: Rhodococcus (subgen. Prescottella) equi
Lineage: Bacteria; Bacillati; Actinomycetota; Actinomycetes; Mycobacteriales; Nocardiaceae
Description: Rhodococcus hoagii partial 23S ribosomal RNA
Rfam family: Bacterial large subunit ribosomal RNA
Source: RNAcentral